GACGAACGCUGGCGGCGUGCUUAACACAUGCAAGUCGAACGGAAAGGCCCUGCUUUUGUGGGGUGCUCGAGUGGCGAACGGGUGAGUAACACGUGAGUAACCUGCCCUUGACUUUGUGAUAACUUCAGGAAACUGUGGCUAAUACCGGAUAUGAUCUCCUGCUGCAUGGUGUUGUUUGGAAAGUUUCGGCUGUUGGGGAUGGACUCGCGGGUUAUCAGCUUGUUGGUGGGGUAGUGGCUUACCAAUGAUUUGACGGGUAGCCGGCCUGAGAGGGUUACCGGCGACAUGGGGACAGAGAGACGGACCAGAAUGGAAAGGGAGGCAGCAGGGGGGAAUAUUGCACAAUGGGAGGAAGCCUGAUGCAGAAACGCAGCGUGCGGGAUGACGGCCUUCGGGUUGUAAAACGAUUUCGACUGUGACGAAGCGUGAGUGACGGUAAUGGGUAAAGAAGCACCGGCUAACUACGUG
RNAcentral lists this ribosomal RNA (468 nucleotides) under uncultured bacterium. RNAcentral's name for it is "partial 16S ribosomal RNA". It matches the Rfam family "Bacterial small subunit ribosomal RNA", at positions 28 to 507 of the family's 1533-position model. The record is from RNAcentral.